AGAAAGGCCGGGAUAGCUCAGUUGGUAGAGCAGAGGACUGAAA
RNAcentral lists this transfer RNA (43 nucleotides) under Leptodon smithii. RNAcentral's name for it is "partial tRNA-Phe". Lineage: Eukaryota; Viridiplantae; Streptophyta; Bryopsida; Hypnales; Leptodontaceae. The record is from RNAcentral.